UGGGGAAUAUUGGACAAUGGGCGAAAGCCUGAUCCAGCCAUGCCGCGUGUGUGAAGAAGGUCUUCGGAUUGUAAAGCACUUUAAGUUGGGAGGAAGGGCAUUAACCUAAUACGUUAGUGUUUUGACGUUACCGACAGAAUAAGCACCGGCUAACUCUUUGCCAGCAGCCGCGGUAAUACAGAGGGUGCAAGCGUUAAUCGGAAUUACUGGGCGUAAAGCGCGCGUAGGUGGGUUGUUAAGUUGGAUGUGAAAUCCCCGGGCGCGACCUGGGAACUGCAUUCAAAACUGACUGACUAGAGUAUGGUAGAGGGUGGUGGAAUUUCCUGUGUAGCGGUGAAAUGCGUAGAUAUAGGAAGGAACACCAGUGGCGAAGGCGACCACCUGGACUAAUACUGACACUGAGGUGCGAAAGCGUGGGGAGCAAACA
This 427-nucleotide ribosomal RNA is filed under the name uncultured bacterium. Its description in RNAcentral is "partial 16S ribosomal RNA". It matches the Rfam family "Bacterial small subunit ribosomal RNA", at positions 355 to 774 of the family's 1533-position model. The record is from RNAcentral.